AAAUUGAAGAGUUUGAUCAUGGCUCAGAUUGAACGCUGGCGGCAGGCCUAACACAUGCAAGUCGAACGGUAACAGGAAGCGCUUGCUGCUUCGCUGACGAGUGGCGGACGGGUGAGUAAUGUCUGGGAAACUGCCUGAUGGAGGGGGAUAACUACUGGAAACGGUAGCUAAUAC
This 174-nucleotide ribosomal RNA is filed under the name Escherichia coli. RNAcentral describes it as "partial 16S ribosomal RNA". It matches the Rfam family "Bacterial small subunit ribosomal RNA", at positions 1 to 169 of the family's 1533-position model. The record is from RNAcentral. Lineage: Bacteria; Pseudomonadati; Pseudomonadota; Gammaproteobacteria; Enterobacterales; Enterobacteriaceae.